CGCACGGGUGCGUAACGCGUAUGCAAUCUACCUUUUACAGAGGGAUAGCCCAGAGAAAUUUGGAUUAAUACCUCAUAGUGUUCUAGAGUGGCAUCACUUUAUGACUAAAGUUCCAACGGUAAAAGAUGAGCAUGCGUCCUAUUAGCUAGAUGGUAAGGUAACGGCUUACCAUGGCUACGAUAGGUAGGGGUCCUGAGAGGGAGAUCCCCCACACUGGUACUGAGACACGGACCAGACUCCUACGGGAGGCAGCAGUGAGGAAUAUUGGACAAUGGGCGCAAGCCUGAUCCAGCCAUGCCGCGUGCAGGAAGACGCAUCUAUGGUGUGUAAACUGCUUUUGUACGGGAAGAAACACUCCUACGUGUAGGAGCUUGACGGUACCGUAAGAAUAAGGAUCGGCUAACUCCGUGCCAGCAGCCGCGGUAAUACGGAGGAUCCAAGCGUUAUCCGGAAUCAUUGGGUUUAAAGGGUCCGUAGGCGGUUUGAUAAGUCAGUGGUGAAAGCCCAUCGCUCAACGAUGGAACGGCCAUUGAUACUGUCAGGCUUGAAUUACUAGGAAGUAACUAGAAUAUGUAGUGUAGCGGUGAAAUGCUUAGAUAUUACAUGGAAUACCAAUUGCGAAGGCAGGUUACUACUAGUGGAUUGACGCUGAUGGACGAAAGCGUGGGGAGCGAACAGGAUUAGAUACCCUGGUAGUCCACGCCGUAAACGAUGGAUACUAGCUGUUCGGAGCAAUCUGAGUGGCUAAGCGAAAGUGAUAAGUA
RNAcentral lists this ribosomal RNA (764 nucleotides) under uncultured Bacteroidota bacterium. RNAcentral's name for it is "bacterial SSU rRNA". It matches the Rfam family "Bacterial small subunit ribosomal RNA", at positions 99 to 866 of the family's 1533-position model. Lineage: Bacteria; Pseudomonadati; Bacteroidota. The record is from RNAcentral.